GUGGGGAAUAUUGGACAAUGGGCGAAAGCCUGAUCCAGCCAUGGCGCGUGUGUGAAGAAGGUCUUCGGAUUGUAAAGCACUUUAAGUUGGGAGGAAGGGCAGUAAGUUAAUACCUUGCUGUUUUGACGUUACCGACAGAAUAAGCACCGGCUAACUUCGUGCCAGCAGCCGCGGUAAUACGAAGGGUGCAAGCGUUAAUCGGAAUUACUGGGCGUAAAGCGCGCGUAGGUGGUUCGUUAAGUUGGAUGUGAAAGCCCCGGGCUCAACCUGGGAACUGCAUCCAAAACUGGCGAGCUAGAGUACGGUAGAGGGUGGUGGAAUUUCCUGUGUAGCGGUGAAAUGCGUAGAUAUAGGAAGGAACACCAGUGGCGAAGGCGACCACCUGGACUGAUACUGACACUGAGGUGCGAAAGCGUGGGGAGCAAACAGGAUUAGAAACCCUAGUAGUCC
RNAcentral lists this ribosomal RNA (450 nucleotides) under uncultured bacterium. RNAcentral describes it as "partial 16S ribosomal RNA". It matches the Rfam family "Bacterial small subunit ribosomal RNA", at positions 354 to 796 of the family's 1533-position model. The record is from RNAcentral.